Molecule: ribosomal RNA, 490 nt
Filed under: uncultured bacterium
Lineage: Bacteria
Description: partial 16S ribosomal RNA
Rfam family: Bacterial small subunit ribosomal RNA
Source: RNAcentral
GAUGAACGCUAGCUACAGGCUUAACACAUGCAAGUCGAGGGGCAGCAUGGUCUUAGCUUGCUAAGGCCGAUGGCGACCGGCGCACGGGUGAGUAACACGUAUCCAACCUGCCGUCUACUCUUGGACAGCCUUCUGAAAGGAAGAUUAAUACAAGAUGGCAUCAUGAGUUCACAUGUUCACAUGAUUAAAGGUAUUCCGGUAGACGAUGGGGAUGCGUUCCAUUAGAUAGUAGGCGGGGUAACGGCCCACCUGGUCUUCGAUGGAUAGGGGUUCUGAGAGGAAGGUCCCCCACAUUGGAACUGAGACACGGUCCAAACUCCUACGGGAGGCAGCAGUGAGGAAUAUUGGUCAAUGGGCGAGAGCCUGAACCAGCCAAGUAGCGUGAAGGAUGACUGCCCUAUGGGUUGUAAACUUCUUUUAUAAAGGAAUAAAGUCGGGUAUGUAUACCCGUUUGCAUGUACUUUAUGAAUAAGGAUCGGCUAACUCCGUG